Molecule: long non-coding RNA, 1822 nt
Filed under: Helianthus annuus (common sunflower)
Lineage: Eukaryota; Viridiplantae; Streptophyta; Magnoliopsida; Asterales; Asteraceae
Source: RNAcentral
AAACAUUUCUCUUCAAUAUUCUAUCAAGACUUAAAGACGCCAUGUACAAGGUCCGAAGCAAAGUUCCAUUAUUUUCAACCCUGCUCCCAAAUUUGCCCCUCAUUUAACAAGGCUUCAAUGAUUUCUUCGGUUUGGAGCAGUGUAAUAAUGAAAUUGAAGCCUGUUGGGUUGCAUCACCUCUUCCGAAUUCCACUUCUGCAACCACUCAUAAGUCACCGUUCAUCCUUUCACUAACCCUAGAUCCUUUUCGUUUCAAAUCAAAUCCACUUUUUCUCUACUUAGGUCUCUCUCUCUCUCAAAGUUCUGGAGCACUCCUCUCCAUCGAUUUCUCAAUUCUUGUGUGUCCCUCUCAUUCGAUCUCUCAAAUCCAUGACCCCAUCUAGUGACGAUAUGGUGUGUAGUGGUAAAAUUUGCUCCCUAGGGUUUCAGUGGUAGGAUUCUCGAGCAGAUCCGUGGCAACUGAGACGAGAUCCCGGUGGUAGAUGGCUGUUGAGGUAGGUUUCGACAACCCGGUUCCAAUUUAUCAGCUGCAUGUACGUUUUCUGACAACCGAGCGACUAUAAUGAUGAUUCCGACAACUUGGGUAGUGGUUUGCGACGACAACAAUGACUACCUGCGGUGGAGGUGAACUUCAGCCGCUAAACAACGGUGGUCUAUGGUGGUGGUUGUAUACUUCGGCCGCCAAAAUCGUCUUGUGUUGAAGUGGAGCAAAAAAUCUCUGAUCUCUAAGAUUACAGGGCCCUAAACUGCCAAACAAAUUUCAAAGCUCAUGAUUAGAUAGAUAGGUCUCAAAACGAAAGGGGGGGAAACCGAUAGAAAUCAAAGUAUGAGCAUAUAUUGAUUGUUCAAUCGAAAUGCAAACAAUUUUACAAUGUCUUAGUGUUGUUGAUUGCGAAAGGUAAAUUGUUUUCCGGUUUGUUAUUGUUUAAAUGUCACCAUCUGUUGGUUUUUAUAUACUUUUUUCUAAGUGUGUUUGGUUGAUUGAAUAGACUGGAUUUAGAGUUUGGGCAAAGGGGUUGUUUUUGUGAUUUUUUUUAUUAUGUAAUUUUAUAAUAUGAUUUGAAGUUGCUAAGUUCAAUGCAAAUUUUGGGGUGUAAAUUAGCUAAAUUGUCAUUUGGAAUGGUCUAUUUGGCGAUUGCUUAUUCGGAUUGAUUUUCUGCUUAUUGUGUUUUGUUGCAGUAAUAACAUGUUUUGAGGGCGUUUGGAUUGGUUAAAUUAAACUUUUUUAUGUGAUUAGUUGUGCAGUGAAACCAUAGCUGAGGUAAGAUAUAUUUGUUUAUCGUUCUUUGGAACCCUAACUGUCAGCACAUGUUUGUUUUGUUUCGGAUGGUGUGGUGUCUGAUGCGAGCAAAAUGAAGGCAGCCGCCUCUGCCAAGAGAGGAAGUAAAGCCUCCACCGCCGCUACUUCAGCUAAGGUGGUCCAGAUGCUAUGUCAACUAACUAUUUCGAAGGUUGUUGUUGUCUAAUAGAGAGGUUGCAAGGAUAACGAUACAUACGAUGAGCUACUUUUGGACAUUUCUGAUCCAGACAAGGGUGAUCCACUUGCUGUGGCCUGUGGUGGAGCCGACUCAGUUACACGGGACAACAUGGUCAGAUUAUCAACCCGAAUGCUCGAUAACUAUGAAAAUUUAUCCACACAUGUUGUCGUGCAUUAGAAACUUACAUAAGAAAUCUUGUAUGUGAUAGAUAGUUGAGUUUGAAUAGUUAGCAAUCUAAUGUAAGGUUAAGAGUACAUUAUUAGGUUAACAUUAUGUCUUCUUUAUGUAAUGUGCACGGUGUCUUAUGAUGAUACAUUCUUAAUAAAUACUUAAAUACAUUUAGA